AGUCUCUUAAUAGCAGUUAAGAAAAGAAUCCAGUGUUAAUAUAUUGUUAAUAUAGUUUCCUACUUUUAAACACCGUUCAAAGUGAUUUUUAGACUCUAUUGACAUUUUUACGCACCUGAUGUUGCCUCAAAAUAUUUACCUCAGUGUGGCAGCAGCAAAAGGCAACCUUGUGCAGAACUGACUCUUAUGUUAGUAACCUAACCCAGUGACCCUACCACCCUGCAACGCCCAGUUCUAGUCAAGGUUGAUUGGCGACGACAGGUGCCCAUACACCCGUACACCUGCCCACUUCAAACUGGCCAUUCUGGCCACUUCUGGCCACGCGACUAAAAAUAAGCUAAAGGGCGGUCCUUGCUGGCAUUUCUAGUGUUUGUUUAGAUGCCCUUUUUGUUCCCAGAGUCACGAAUGUCGCACUCUUAUGGAGUCAAUGCGCCAAAUGCCUAGGUAAAUAUCAUUGUUGGUGCAGUGAUAUUAAUGUAGCAUGAUUGCAUGAAAAUGCUAAAGGUU
Molecule: non-coding RNA, 507 nt
Organism: Drosophila melanogaster (fruit fly)
Lineage: Eukaryota; Metazoa; Arthropoda; Insecta; Diptera; Drosophilidae
Source: Ensembl